Molecule: ribosomal RNA, 560 nt
Filed under: Bacillus licheniformis
Lineage: Bacteria; Bacillati; Bacillota; Bacilli; Caryophanales; Bacillaceae
Description: bacterial SSU rRNA
Rfam family: Bacterial small subunit ribosomal RNA
Source: RNAcentral
AGAGUUUGAUCCUGGCUCAGGACGAACGCUGGCGGCGUGCCUAAUACAUGCAAGUCGAGCGGACCGACGGGAGCUUGCUCCCUUAGGUCAGCGGCGGACGGGUGAGUAACACGUGGGUAACCUGCCUGUAAGACUGGGAUAACUCCGGGAAACCGGGGCUAAUACCGGAUGCUUGAUUGAACCGCAUGGUUCAAUCAUAAAAGGUGGCUUUUAGCUACCACUUGCAGAUGGACCCGCGGCGCAUUAGCUAGUUGGUGAGGUAACGGCUCACCAAGGCGACGAUGCGUAGCCGACCUGAGAGGGUGAUCGGCCACACUGGGACUGAGACACGGCCCAGACUCCUACGGGAGGCAGCAGUAGGGAAUCUUCCGCAAUGGACGAAAGUCUGACGGAGCAACGCCGCGUGAGUGAUGAAGGUUUUCGGAUCGUAAAACUCUGUUGUUAGGGAAGAACAAGUACCGUUCGAAUAGGGCGGUACCUUGACGGUACCUAACCAGAAAGCCACGGCUAACUACGUGCCAGCAGCCGCGGUAAUACGUAGGUGGCAAGCGUUGUCCGGA